AGUGAACGCUGGCGGUAGACCUAACACAUGCAAGUCGAACGGCAGCACAGUAAGAGCUUGCUCUUACGGGUGGCGAGUGGCGGACGGGUGAGGAAUACAUCGGAAUCUACUUUUUCGUGGGGGAUAACGUAGGGAAACUUACGCUAAUACCGCAUACGACCUACGGGUGAAAGCAGGGGAUCUUCGGACCUUGCGCGAUUGAAUGAGCCGAUGUCGGAUUAGCUAGUUGGGGGGGUAAAGGCCCACCAAGGCGAGGAUCCGUAGCUGGUCUGAGAGGAUGAACAGGCACACUGGAACUUGGAAACGGGCCAGACCCCUACGGGAGGGAGGAGUGGGGGAUAUUGGGAAAUGGGGGGAAACCUGACGCAGCAACGCCGGGUGGGUGAAAAAGGUCUUCGGGUUGUAAAACCCUUUUUGUUGGGAAAAAAAAACGGGAGGUUAACUCCCCGCGUUUUGGCGGGAACCAAAAAGAAAGCCACGGCUAACUUCGGG
Molecule: ribosomal RNA, 492 nt
Filed under: uncultured bacterium
Lineage: Bacteria
Description: partial 16S ribosomal RNA
Rfam family: Bacterial small subunit ribosomal RNA
Source: RNAcentral